UGGUCAAAGAUUCUGUGAAAUG
Molecule: microRNA, 22 nt
Filed under: Eisenia fetida (common brandling worm)
Lineage: Eukaryota; Metazoa; Annelida; Clitellata; Crassiclitellata; Lumbricidae
Description: Efe-Mir-2-o23_5p* (star (passenger))
Source: RNAcentral